RNAcentral lists this long non-coding RNA (259 nucleotides) under Homo sapiens (human). RNAcentral describes it as "non-protein coding lnc-UCHL1-2:1". Lineage: Eukaryota; Metazoa; Chordata; Mammalia; Primates; Hominidae. The record is from RNAcentral.
CAUGUAAUUACAUUAUUAUACAUCAGUCAUUUAACCAGGGUAAACAAUAAUUGCUGGAAAACUAAGAUUUUUAAUAUGAAGAAAGGAAUUGCUAAGUAAAUGAAAGGGAAACAUACAAAUGUACUGUGUGAUUCUUUUGUGUAGCUGUUUGUUUAGCAAUUCAGGAAGUGACUUAAACUUUGCCUGCCAAUAUUAGAUGCUAGAUUUUUAUCAAAGGAAAGGUCCUAUCAUUUUUCAUGUGUGUUUAGUUAGAGAUUUG